RNAcentral lists this long non-coding RNA (30349 nucleotides) under Lupinus angustifolius (narrow-leaved blue lupine). Its description in RNAcentral is "long non-coding RNA (LANG_LNC000358)". The record is from RNAcentral. Lineage: Eukaryota; Viridiplantae; Streptophyta; Magnoliopsida; Fabales; Fabaceae.
UUUUGUAAACAUCUCCAUAAAUGAACUCAAGUACAGAAAAUUAACAUCUCAUAUCAUCAACAAACAGAAUAGGCCAUUCCUUAAAGUUAAUUGCAUGAUUUAACAAGUUUCAUUACAAAUAUACUUCACAUACUUGAAUACAUUAAAAAGCUAAAUAAACGGGUAUUGAUAUAAUGCAUGCAUUUGAAGAAAAAGGUACUUAGAAGAGAAAUUUGGUUCAAUUCUUAGCAAAUAAGCCUCCAAAACCGCCACCUUUCUUCUUUUGUGGCACUGCCACAGAGUUCUUCCGGCCACUGAUGGUGCCUCCUCCUCCUUUCUUUUCCUCCACCCCCUGAAGGAUAGGGUCAGUUUCUAGAAGCUGAUCUUCUUUCACUAACCCUCCAAUAAUCCAAUCCACUAAUCCUUUCUCCUCUUUGCCACUACCUGCUGAACCCUUUGUUCCUGCUGAACCCUUUGUUGCUGCAAAAACUCUUCCAGUAGUUACUGGUGUAAAUGGCAUCAUGAGUAUGGAAGCCAUGAAAAUGUAGAAGAGAAUAGAGUGGAAAGAGAGACACAGUGGCUACAAAGUGUGGAGGGUAAGUGGCAAUGGCAUUGAUAAUUUAUUUGUUGUGAGUUGUGGCUGCUACUAUCAAGUGAAUGUGAGCCUCUGAAUUGGGUUUGCAUUUGGUGAAAUGAGAGCUCAAUGCCACUUGCUUUCCACAACUGUCUUAUCUUCAUUGUUAGUAUUUUUGGCACCAAACAUUUAUAAGAAACAAAUGUAUCCUUGUAUUAGUUUCAUAUACAUACAUAUAAAUAAAUGACGAAUGAUAUAUUAAUCAUGUAUGAAUCUUUAUACUAACAAUGUAUAGAUAUGACUUAUUAUGUAAACGCUCUAAUUUAUUUUUUUGUAGGAAGAGCUUUACCGUCCAUUACAAUCUCAUACCUAGAAUAAAAUUUUCUAGAUAGUAGACUAUAUUGUGGUUUAGACAAAAUAUAAUUCGAAUUUAACAUUUAGAUUGAAUUCGUAUUGUAGUUGACCCAUCCUCUUUUUCACAUAUGCUUGUUGAUGGGUUUCAGAACUAGAAAGACUCAAAAGAAAUAAUAAUCAGUAGCUUAAUAGAAAAAAUAGAGAUAAUGUGUGCAGUAAAAUGAAAGAUAAUAUUGAUAGCCUAACUAUCAAUCCCUUUUCAUAGAAGAAUCUCUUUUCUCUUUCUAUAACAAAAUGCCCCCUCACUCCUCCUCCCUUUCCCUAAAUAGCAACUGACUACAAUUCCCCCUCUCUCCCUUUUCUUGCCAACUCAGCUUUCUUUCCACGUUUCCUCACAUAGACCUUCACACUUUGGGCUCCUCAUUGUUAACUUCAAGGCCCACUUCCCCUGCUGUGUCUCUAUCAAUUACCCCCUCCUGAACUAGAGCCUUGUCCUCAAGGCUAAAUUCUGGAAACUGCCCUUUGAUAAAUGCGGUAUCCUCCCACGUAACAUCAUCAACGGAUUUGUUCUACCAUUGAAUGAGACUUUGAGGGAUAGACACACCUUCCUGCAUAAUCCAGCGUGAACCAAGGACCCUCUAUGGAUAGAUAUCAUCCACUGGAUUUAUCUCCAGUUCCUUGGCAGGUCCCCAUGUAUCUGAUAAUUGCCAAUGGCCUUUUUGAGUAAAGACAAGACACAUGAAAAACUGGAUGAAUUCUAGAGUGAUCAGGAAGAUGCAAUUUGUAAGCCACUUCACCCAUCUUAGCAAUGAUUCGAAAAGGACCAUAAAAUCUCGGGGCUAACUUUUGAUUGAUGCGUUUAAUCACAGAUUGUUGCCUAUGGGGACGAAGUUUGAGAAAAACCCAAUCACUUAUGGCAAACUUCACCUCACGUCUCUUCUUAUUAGCAUAAGCCGCCAUCUGUUGUUGAGCCUUGAGUAGGUGGGUCUUUAGUUGAUUCAAGGCUUCGUCCCUUUCAACUAGUUCCAAAGCCACAGCAGUGACCUUAGAUUCAUUACUUAAGAAACGGACAAUACUGGGUGGUGAUCUGCCAUACACCACUUCAAAGGGAGUAGUGCCGAGAGAAACAUGAAAAGUGGUGUUGUACCAAAAUUCUGCCCAUGGGAUCCACAGAGACCAUGUUUUCGGUUGAUCAGAGGCAAAACAACGUAAGUAACUCUCGAGACACCUGUUGACAACUUCUGUUUGACCAUCCGUUUCGGGAUGAUACGUUGAACUCAUGUGCAACUGAGUACCCCACAGUUUGAAAAUCUCCAUCCAAAAAUGGCUAACAAAUAAAGGAUCCCUGUCACUAAUGACGGACGUUGGAAUCCCAUGUAAGCACAUUGUUUCCUUUACGAACAAUUCUGCCACGGAUUUCGCCGUAUAAGGGUGUUUCAAUAACACAAAGUGACUAUAUUUAGAUAGUCUAUCCACAACCACUAGAAUUGCAUCAAAUCCUUUGGAUUUUGGAAGGCCCAUGAUGAAAUCUAGAGAAAUAUCCUCCCAAACAACAUUCGGAAUAGGGAGGGGUUGUAGUAAACCACCCGGAGUUGUAGUAGAGUAUUUCUGUCGUUGGCAAGUGUCACAAGCUCGCACAAAAUCACGGACCAUUUUUUGCAUACCUGGCCAAUAAAGGUUUGUUGCUAGUCUUCUAUAGGUGUGGAGGAAUCCCGAAUGGCCUCCCAAUGGUGAUGAGUGAAAUUCUUUUAACAACAGUGGAAUUGAAGGAGAGGUAGGAGAUAAGACUAGACGGCCUUGGUAGAGCAACAUACCUUGAUGCACCGAGAAACCGCGUUUGGUAGAGGGGUCAACUUUUAGGGCCUCUAUUAUUUGUUGAAGAGAAAUGUCCUGCUUGACUUCUUGCAACAAAGUUUCUGCAUCUACCCACGUAGGAUAAGAAGUCAUUGAGGUGAAUUCCACCACAUCAUAACACCUGGACAGGGCAUCUGCUGCCUUGUUCUCGAGUUCUGGUUUAUACUUGACCUCAAAUUGAUAACCCAAUAGCUUAGCUAACCAACAUUGUUGAUCCAGUGAAGAGAUCCGUUGUUGUAAGAAAUGCUUCAAACUUUUGUGAUUUGUAUACACUACAAACGGUCUACCCAAUAGAUAAUGACGCUAAUGUUCUAUUGCAAGGACUAAAACCAUCAAUUCUUUUUCAUAUACUGGCUUAGCCAAAUUUCCAGUAGAUAAUGCUUUGCUGAAGUAAGAAAGGGGUCUCUUAUUUUGCAUCAAAACAACACCAAUACCUCUCCCCGCUGCAUCACAUUCAACUUCAAAAGGUAGUGUAAAAUCUGGCAGUCCUAGCACUGGAGAAGUCGUCAUCACUGUCUUUAAUGUCUGGGAAGCCUCCACAGUAGCCUCAUUCCAUACAAAACAGUUUUUCUUAGUCAAUUCAGUGAGGGGUUUGGCAAUUUUUCCAUAAUCUCGGAUGAACUUCCGAUAAUAACCUAAAAAACCUCGAACUCCCUUAACAUUUUUUGGCUCAGGCCAAUUCAAAACACAACUUACCUUACCCGGAUCCACUGCCACACCAUUUCCUGAUAUUACAUGGCCCAAGUAGUCCACAUACUUACAACCAAACUUGCAUUUUGCUGCAUUUGCCACAAAACAGUGUUGAUGUAACAAUUUUAACACUUGCCUUAAGUGAACAAUAUGCUCCUCCUCACUCUUGCUAUAAACUAAGAUGUCGUCAAAAAAUACCAAGACAAAGCUACGAAGGAAAGGCCGAAAGACAUCAUUCAUAGUGGCUUGGAAUGUUGCUAGAGCAUUCAUUAAACCGAAAGGCAUAACCAGGUAUUCAUAGUCCUCAUUAUGAGUCUUGAAAGCAGUCUUGUGAACAUCAGACUCAUGGACACGAAUCUGAUGAUAUCCGGAUCGGAGGUCAAUUUUGGAGAAUAUUCUUGCCCCAUACAGUUUGUCCAGCAACUCAUCGACGAUAGGAAUAGGGUAUUUAUCCGGAAUGGUUACCUUGUUUAAUGCCCUGUAGUCGACACACAUACGCCAAGAGCCAUCUUUCUUUUUGACAAGAAUCACGAGAGUGGAAAAUGCACUCGUGCUAGGACGAAUUACGCCUGCCUUCAAUAGUUCUCGGACUUGUUUCUCAAUGUCCUCUUUUUGAUGGUGAGGAUAUCGAUAUGGUCGAACAUUCACAGAACAGUGUUCAGCAACCAAUUUGAUUUGAUGAACUCUUUUUCUUUCGGGAGGUAAGGCAAUGUGUUCUCGAAAAACCGUUGAGAAUUUGCCUAAUAGUUUAGCCACUGCUGGACAUUCACCUUCUUCCUUCAUACUGUUUGUACCCUCACUCUGUAUACACCACCAAUCAUUUGUUUCCCUUCGGCCCUCGUCUUCAAGGAAUGAAUGUAAGAACCCAUGUUUACCAUGCCUCCCCCCUUGACUUCGCAAGUUCACCUUUUCCCCCUCAUACCAAAAUUGCAUAGUUAAUUUUUUCUAGUCCAAAAUUACCUUCCCCAAUGUACUCAGCCGUGACACACCUAACACUACAUCCAGACCUCCUAACUCCAAUACUAGAACAUCAAUUUCAAAUGUUUGUGGUCUUAGGUUAAUCCGCACCCCCUUACAAAUUCUCGUGGAGAGUACCUUGUGACUGUCCCCCAACUUGAUAUUCUUCGCUGUCAUUGGAGUGAUUGGAAGACUCAGGCUGUUGUAAUUGUUGGGGAGAUAAAGUUAUGGCUAGCCCCACUGUCAAUGACGACCAUGACUUCAAUUUCUUCCAAUUUGCCAACUAUUUUCAUAGUGCGAUGCUCCCCCAUUUCACCAAGAACCCCGAGUACUUUACACUCUGCCUCGCCAUCGUCAUCCUCCUCAGUGACACUAGUCUCAACCGCGAUGAUUUCUCCCUCAUCAUCACCAUCUUCUCCUUCUCCUAAAAUCAAUAACCGCAAGGAACAUUCAGGGCAUUUAUGUUGAGUUGGAUGGUAUUUUCCUCCACAUUUGAAGCAAAGUCCUUUCGCCCUUCUAUCCAUCACCUCUUCAUAAGACAAACUUUUGGUACAUUUCCAUCUCUCCAUCGCGUUACUUCGUCGUUCUGGUUCUCCUUUUCGUGCCGUAGAGAACAUCGGUGAUGUCGAAGAGUGAUUCGGGUUUGAUGAACCCAUUUUAGAUGAUGGGUUAUGACUUGGGUUGUUCCAACCUGAAUGUGGGAUUCGGUUCCUUUGGGCUUGGCCCAAACUACUGCGAUUUUAAACAUUGGACCCGUUCCAAUCACUACGGGCCCCUCUUUCCCACCCAUUUUUCUUUCCAUAAUACCUCUCCCCUUCACCAUCAUCUUCCUUUAAUUCAUCUUCGACAUCAUUUGCAUUCUGGUUUGAGGAUUCAAUGUCUGUAUUCUCCUCCGAAUAUAGGGUUUUAAAUCACUCAUGAAAUAUCCCAAGUACUGCUCUUCUGGUAGGCGCCCAACUUGCGACGACAAUAGUUCAAAAGCUUCUACGAAUUCCUCCACACUUCCUGUUUGAUGUAGGGUGGAUAGUUCCUCAAACGGAUUCUCUAACCGUCGGCCUCCAUAGUGAGCAAUUAGUGCCUUCUUUAAUUUCUCCCAUGACAAGGCAUCCUAUGUUUUGAGCAACAAAUUAAACCAAUGGAUCGUUGUUCCUUCCAUACUCACCCUUGCUAACUUCACAUGCAUAUCAUUGGGUGUGCUCUGGACGUCAAAAUAAAUCUCUGCGCGAGUGAUCCAUGCGACUGGGUCAUCUCCAUCAAACACUGGUAAUUUCACUUUUUUGCCUCAGAGUCGCGAUUCUCCACUUCACCAGUGGUCUGUUCAGUUUCAGCUUCUCGUUCCUUUUGUCCCAAUUAAUGACUCAGUUCUGCUAGCACCAGGCUUUGCGUUUGCAUUUGAGCAACCAAGGUAUGCAACGUUGUUUUGACUUCUUCCAUUUGCUCCUCCAAAAUUACAACCAUAUCUGCCAUUUUUGGUGACAUCUACUGUACUCCUCCCUGCUGUAGGUAAUUUAUCCGGCAGGUCAGACCAAUUGAUGGGUUUCAGAACUAGAAAGACUCAAAAGAAAUAAUAAACAGUAGUAGUAAGUUUGUAUUAAUAGAAAAAAUAGAGACAAUGUGUGCAGUAAAAUGAAAGAUAAUAUUGAUAGCCUAACUAUCGAUCCCUUUUCAAAGAAGAAUCUCUUUUCUCUUUCUAUAACAGAAUGCCCCCUUACUCCUCCUCCCUUUCCCUAAAUAGCAACUGACUAGUGACUACAAUUCUCCCUCUCUCCCUUUUCUUGCCAACUCAGUUUUCUUUCCACGUUUCCUCACAUAGACCUUCCACACUUUGGACUCCUCAUUGUUAACUUCAAGGCCCACUUCCCCUGCUGUGUCUUUAUCACUUGUGCUUGUAGUGCAUAUUUUUAUUUGAUGACCGAAGUCUUUUCACCAUAUUACAAUGAUAUUGCAAAAUCAUGUCUAAUUUAAGGGUGCCCAUGUGUUUUUAUGUGGAGUUAAUGGUAGUGUAAAAUUUUAUACAUAGUUAAUGUUUUAUCUAUUAUUUAUUUGUAUUAUUUUUAUUUAAGAGUCAAAUGAUGAUCAAAAAUAAAUAGUAGAUGAUACAAUAACAAUGUAAAAAACUAUUAUACUAUCAGUAUAUACAUUUUUCUCUCUUUUAUAUGUCAAAUUAGAAUAAGUUGUGAAAUUAGACAAAUUACGCAUCUUUUUUUAAAGAUACACAAAUCACUCUAAUUCUAUACAUAUAGUACACUUACUACUUAUAUAGGAGAAAUAAGUAUAGUAUCUUAAACAAAAAAUAACUAUGAUGAUAAUUAAAUUAAACAAAUAUAUUAUAUUAUGUAGACAAAUUCAAAUAAUAUAAAAGUCAGUAUCUAACUAAAAAUAUAUUUUUAGUUAGUUACAUGUAAAAUGCAUGGACAGCCAUGCAUGGCUUUGGUUCUGACUUGAAGAAUGGCAAAGAAAGGAGGAAGAAAAAGUGAACUUUAUCACGUAAGAGAGAACAAGAAAAAUGAAAAACUUCAAUCUAACUUUUCUUAUUGAUGAUUCUUCAAAAUAUAAAAGAAAAUGAUUCAGAUGUAAUAGUUGAAAAUCUACAUAACAAACUAAAAGAAUUCCCUUUUUAAAUAGGGAAACAAGCAAAACAAAAAUAACUACCUAAAAGCAAGAAACAAAACUAAUUGCAAUCCUUUAAAGUAUUCGUUUCGAAUUGAUCAUUUUCUUAUAUUAUAAACUGGAUCAAUCAUUUUAAGAAUGUAUUCAAAUCACUCUUAUAUUAUAUUGUAACUAAAACAAAAUAAUGAAUAAACAUUUUUUAUACUAUUUGGACUUAUUUCCGCAAAAAAAUUAAGUUUUGUCUUUCUCUUUAUUUCUCUCCAACAAUUAACUUACAAUAAUAAGCUUAUAAUUUUAUUUUAAUAUCUUAUACCUUUUAAAAAAGUAAAAUGAUAAGGCUGUUUAUCUUAUAAUAUAAAGUUAUAAGUUCAAAUAUAGAAAAAAAUAUUGCUAUGAUGGGAAGACAACAUACAUUUACUAAGACUAUAGUAGUUGAGAACAUGGUCAAUUAAACAUCUCUUCAUACAUUUUAGAGUAAAUUAUAUUGACAUCUCUUAAGUUUUAACGAAAUUAUAUGAAUCACUUCUCUUUUUUUUACACCUACAAAAAUAAGGGUGGAAACAAGUCUGGUCGCCUAUCGGGGGCUAUUACCUGACUUAUAAUAGGCCAGAUCAGACCAGGCUUUUUUCAUAAACAUGUCAGGUUCAGACUUUUUUGAUAUUUACUUUAACAAAUCAUGUUUUAGGUCAUCCGAAAGGCCUAUUAAACUUAAUAGAAUAACCUGUUUAAUUAUUUUAUAUAAUAUGCUCAUAUUAUACGAUUUUAACAUAUAUAAUAUUAUUAUAUAUAUAUAAUUUUAAUAUAAAAACAUAACUUAAUUGUUAGGGUUAGAAGAGUCUCAUUAAAAGUAUGAAUAUUAGUCUAUUUAAAUGUAGAGAUGAUGAUGUAUUUUAAUAUUAUAUAGUAUAACAGACUUUUAAACAGAUUAACAUGUCAUGCUAGACUUUUAAACAGGUCAUGUUUAGGCUUUGAAUUUUUUUAAACAGACUAACAGGUGAGGUCGAGACUCUUACAUGCUAUAUAGGUUGUGCUUGUUUAAGGCAAAGUCUGGUCUGGUCUGGCUUGUUUCCACCCUUAUACAGAAAACCCCUAAUUUAUAUAUACAUUACACUGGCUAUCACUACAGGAGAACAAAUGUAAUUUUUAAAUAAGAAGUGUGAUUGGUGUAACUAAGUUAAACAAAAUAUUAUAUAUUGUGGAGACAAAUCCAAAUAAUAUACGAGUCAAUAUCUCUUCACUAUUUUUGGUUCAUUACGAUAUAGUAUAAGAUCAUUGAUGCAAUAUCUUUUUAGAAUUUUUGAAGCAUUUUUUAACAAAAAAUAAUAAUGAAGAUACAUUAACUUCUAUAUUAUUUAGACUUAUCUCUACAUGUUUUGUUUAUCUUAAUUGCAUUUAUACAUUUUUUGUUUAAAAUAUUACACUUAUUUCUCAUACAGAGAUGAUGAGUGUAAUGAAAAUAUAUAAAUUAUGGGUGUUUAUAUAGAUGUAGAAAAAAUGAAGGAUAAUUUAUAUAAUUUUACUAAAACUUAUUGAGUGUUAUUGUAAUUUAUUCUGUAUUUUAAGAUUUUUGAUGUAUAAAUAAUAACUGAUAAGGGUGACGUCAAAGUUAAUUAUUAAUUAUUACAUUCAUUUCAUUCAUCCUUGUAAUAUGUAAAAUUUAAAUGAUGUCCUCUUUUUCGGUCGUCCUGUAGUGAAUAAAUAAAAACAAUAUUAAUAUUAAAUAUCACAUCAUGAUAGUAUUGUUACAAAAAGGAUAGGUAUACAGAUACACAUUGACUCAGAUUAGCAGCUGUAUGUAGCAAACAUCUAAGGACAUAGGACAUAAACACACACAAUACUUGCAAUUUCCAAUGCCAGAAACAUAAAUACAAGAACAAUGAAUUUAUGAUAUAUAUAUAUAUAUAUAUACACGAAAUCUGGAUAUGAAUUUUUGGGAAUGUUGUUAAAAUUUUACUUUGCAAAUAAUUUUAAUGUAAACAUUUCAACUAGGAAUAUGCAUUGUUAGCUCGCUUACGAUUGUAAAUCUGUGGAAUUAAAUUUCAACAACAUUAUAUCAUGAAUCAAUAGCAUAGCAUAUUUUCAUUAAAAAAAACUUCAACUUCAUUCAUAUGGAUGAGAAUGACAUAACAACUAUAUCAUAACCAAUGCAUUUCCCAGACAAGUUUAGACAACACAAAACCAAAAGUAAUAGGCAUCACAAAAUACAAACUACUGCAUGAUCAGCAUAAAUUACACACAACUUAAUUUUUCUACACCUUCCUUGCACUCCUAGAUGAUUCACCACUAUAGCUGUUACAUAGUUCAUGUACGUUUUGGCACAAACCUACGAGCCCAAACAUGUUUUCCAUUGAUGCUCAAUUUGGCCUUACUUGACCCUCCAAUAAUCAUGUUAAUAGUUGAUUUGUUGCGGAAAAUCAUUCGAGCAAACAAUGGUUGUUCAUUUGGUUGCACUUCCUGCAUGUACAAUGCCUCCACAGAAUCAUCAAACACCUUUGUAAAAAACUCUCUCACCUCUGAUUCUUCAACCGGGUACCCCUUAGAAAAGGUCAGAAACAAUGUCCUUUCAUCUGCUGGUACUAGUUCUAUAUUGAUGUUCUCUUGUGCUAGAUUAUGCACAUGAAUCUUAUGAUCAUGACUUGCACCACCCUGAACCAUGUUGCUGAAAGAGUGAAGAUUAGAUGGUGCAAUUGAGCCAAACCAUAAAGGUUUCUGUUGUUGUUGUUGUGGUGGUUUUGCACUUUGAUCUGACAUAUUUCUUUGAGAUUCAGCUUUUUUCUCAAUUGUGUUCCCAGUAAUAGCAUGUUGCAUUAUAUCAGAGAAUGCUCUAACNNNNNNNNNNNNNNNNNNNNNNNNNNNNNNNNNNNNNNNNNNNNNNNNNNNNNNNNNNNNNNNNNNNNNNNNNNNNNNNNNNNNNNNNNNNNNNNNNNNNUAAUCUUUGUUAUCAUACAAAGAUUGUGAAGAUAUCUCUUUGUCCACAAUGCUUUGUAGAAGAGAGAUAUCACAAGGUUCAGAAGUGAAGGGAAUGGAGUAAGAGAAGUAGCUAAAGUUGGUAGCAUUAAUGUAUUUGAGACAUGAGAGAGUUUCAUCUGCAACUUCAUUUAUCAAGGUGUAUGGAAGAGAGGUUAUUUUCUUUACCAAAUGACGAUAACCUAACCUCUCUAACCAUAGCCACAUAGCAAGAACUUGCAUGGACUCGGUUGGGUUACGAUAAAGGUUGAUCACAAGGAUCCAAUAGAGUUUUCUGUCCAUUUUGUGGAAGAGACAGAAAUCCUCAUGGGAGAUGGUGAUGAUAGUAGAAGGAGGUAGUGCAUGAUCCAUAAUAUGAAAGAGAACAAUAUAAUUUAUUGUCACUCAAGAGCUUUGGUCUUUAUAUAAAACUGCUUUGGACAACCAUCUAUAAAUACCAAGCGGCUAUGUAGAUAAGUUUUGAAGGAGAAAGAAUAGAAAAAAAGAUUUCAGAAUCAUGUCAUAAGUGUAUUUCAGGUUUUUAACAUUUAUCGAUCUUCUUUAUUACCUUUUAAAAACUAACUUACAAAUGAAUUCUUAGUUGCAAAUGAAGAAUUGAAAAUCAAUAAAGUGUUGGUCUGAUAUAAGGCCUCACUAGAUCUCUAAGGUGGUCAAAAGGUCAAAGGUUUCAAUCCUAAGAGCGACACUUGUUAGAAGGGUCAGUCACACACCAUAAAAGAGAUUAAUUCUUUAACCAAAAUGGGUAAAGAAUACUCUUACUAAUAUAAAAAAGGAAAUGAAAUGAUAUAACUAUAAAAUAUGUCAUCACAUUGUUUUUUUAUUGGUUUAUGAUACUUGAAUUCAAUAUAACUCUCAAAUAUUAGUUUCAGGACCCUAUGAUAAUUACCCAAGUAAGAUCAUUACUUAGAAUUAGUAUCUUCUCCAUUAAUGGAGAGGCAAGUGCAUCAAAAAAUAAAGAAAAUCACAAAUUUCAAUGACACAUUUAUCAUUCCAAUUAUAAUAAAAUUAUUACUAAAAACAAAAUAAAAUACAUAUAUUUGUUUCUCCGUUAAUAAAAAUAAUACUUAUUGCAUUACAGAUGGAUGUAGCGAGAAUAGUGUGAGGUUUAUAUAGCAGACAAAAGUGGUGUGGACCCUACAUCAGAAGUGAUCCUUUCGCAAUUUGUGAACAAAAUAGGGAAAAGGUGAGCUUUCCUAAAAUAUAUUUUUUUCUUACUUUUUAAUUCAACCAAACAAAAAAAGAUAAAUUAACACUUAUUUUUCUUCUUUUUUUCCUCGGAUAUCAAAUAAUCAUUGAAAUAACAAUGUUCUGGAUCCUUAAUAUUGAGUGUUCCAUUUAUGUGAGCAAUAUUUGUUCGAAAAAGUAGCAAUGAACCCUGAAAAUGAUUAACUCAUUAUCUAAAAAGAUAAGAAAAUACUUUUAGUAAUAACAAAAAAUAAUCAUUGAAAAUCACUAUUUUCUACUCACUUACUUUCUACCUAAAUUUAUCUUUCUAUAUCUCCUUCUAUUUUUCUAUCAAACCAAACAAUAUAGCAUUAUGAUGAAAUAAGAGAAACAGUAUAUGAUAAAAAGUAAAAAUAAAAUAUUGAUAUAAAAAUAGUAGAGAUAAUAGAGCUAUUAAAUACUUGAGUUGCAAAGUAAAAGAAGCAUUGAAGUUAGAAAUAAACUGAUAAUCAUGUCCUGUGUGUGAAACAAUUUUCUGACUUAGCACAACUAAUAUCAAAAGAGCCUAAAAGCAGCAAGAAAAUCUGCAUGGCACCAUUUAAUCCUUAGAAAAUAAACAUAAAUGGUGGUUGUCAGGAUCUAACUUCAAAACAAGAGUUACAUAUCAGUUUCCAUGGUUUUAAGGGCUUCCUGAAAGAACACAAAUUGUCUGACGUUAGUGCAUUGGUUAAGUAGUUUCUCUUCUUUUUCUCGCCCAUAGUAACCAACUAACCAUAGUUCUACAAAUUAGAGUAUCUUUCACACUAUCAAAUUUCGGGGCCCAACAACUCAAAACAAUUAUUGCCCUUGGAGCAAAAUUUUUGCAUUCAUAUCCAAUUGACUUUGCCAUACACUCGUAAAAAGUAAUUGAGAUUUUUUUACGGUUACACAAAUUUUCGAGUUGGAGCUAGGAGAGAGAAUGACUCGACCCUACUCGUUAUGGCGCUUUUGCUUCUGAGGAAUUUAAUAUGUUUUCUGAGGAGAGAGUCCUUGAAGCCGAAAGAUGUCAAAUGCAAUUAUUAUUUGGAGAUAUAUCUAAGGACGAGAAAACAAGUGAUGUCACAAAUAUAAAGGUUGUACCAAAACCACCACUACGGAAUAAAAGAAAGUCGGCUUAUAGUAGUUACUGCAGAGAGGAAGCUACAAGCAAGAUGCAGAAACAGGGCAGGCAGGCAUCAGAUCCUAUAAUAACCUUAUAAUUUCUCUCCGAUAAUUAACUUGCAAUAAUAACCUUAUAAUUUUUUUUAAUAUCUUAUACCUUUUAAAAAAGUAAAAUGAUAAGGUUGUUUAUCUUAUGAUAUAAAGUUAUAAGUUCAAAUAUAGAAAAAAAUAUUGUUAUGAUGGGAAGACAACAUACAUUUACUAAGACUAUAGUAGUUGAGAACAUGGUCAAUUAAACAUCUCUUCAUACAUUUUAGAGUAAAUUAUAUUGACAUCUCCUAAGUUUUAGCGAAAUUAUAUGAAUCAUUUUAUUUUUACACCUACAGAAAUAAGGGUGGAAACAAGUACGGUCGCCUAUCAGGGGGCUAUUACCUGACCUAUAAUAGGCCAGUCCAGACUAUGGAUGGCAACGGGCGCGGGCGGGCGUAGGGUAGUGCUUUCCCGUGCCCAAACCCGCAACAUUUGCGGGAACCCGUGCAGGUAGCGGGUAUUUACGGGUACCCAAUGAGUUUUUAAUUUUAAUUAUAUAUUUAUAUAAGUUGUAAUAAUCAAUAUGUAAAAAUAAUUGUUACAUGAAUAAUAUGAUAUUUACAUCAUAAGUUUAUUAUCAUAGUCGAAUAUGUGUAAUAUAUUAUGAAAUAAUAAUAAAGUAUAUGAUAUAUAAUCUAAAAUAAUAAUAAUAAUAAUAAUAAAUAUUAUAAAAAUUUAACUAAAAACUAAAUAUAUAAAUUUGCGGGUACCCGCAGGGCGGGUAUCACAAAACCCGCUCUCGCCCAUAAGCUAUUAUUGCAGGUACCCCUUGCGGGUAUUUUUACGGGUACCCAUAGGUCAGGUUUUUUUGCCAUCCCUAGACCAGACCAGGCUUUUUUCAUAAACAUGUCAGGCUCAGGCUUUUUGAAAAGUCUAUUUACUUUAACAAAUCAUGUUUUUGGUCAUCCAAAAGGCCUAUUAAACCUAAUAGACUAGUCUAUUUAAUUAUUUUAUAUAAUAUGCUCAUAUUAUACAAUUUUAACAUAUAUAAUAAUAUUAUUAUUAUUAUAUAUAUAUAUAUAUAUAAUUUUGAUAUAAAAAUAUAACUUAAUUGUUAGGAUUAGAAGAGUCUCAUUAAAAAUAUGAAUAUUAGUCUAUUUAAAUGUAGAAAUGAUGACCUAUUUAAAUAUUAUAUAGUAUAAUAGGUCUUUAAACAAAUUAACAUGUCAUGCUAGACUUUUAAAUAGGCUAACAGGUGAGGCCGAGACUCUUACAUGCUAUAUAGGUUGUGCUUGUAACAACCCGAUUCUUUUGUGAAAUAAAUAAAUAAAUAAAAAUGUUUUUAUAGAAUUUAUUUCUCAACAACUAUUUAUGACUAUGAAUUUCUUCCUUCAUAGAUUUUAUUUAUUGUGGAUACAUUUAAUAAAUAUGAGUUUCUAAUUAAAAACCAUGGCCCAAAUGACAUAACAAUAUAUUUUUAAGACUUCAACAAUUCAAGUUCAUUUUCUAUAAUUAUGUGAAUAAAUAAUUUUUUUUCCAAGAAUCAAUUGUCCUUAUUUUAAUGACUAAGUAUAUAUAUUUACUUAUCAAUACUUUUGUCAUUCUAAAGCAACCUAAUAAAAACACAUGUGAUAAUAUCCAUCAAAAUGUCAUGACUAAAAGUCAUAUAUAACAUGUUUUACAAACAACUACAUAAUAACUAUGAUCUAUCUAUGGGAAUGCAAUUUCUAGUUAGUUUUAGUUGCAUACAUACAAAUAACUUAUAGUUUUUCCAAGUAAAGUAAAACUUGUGUUCCUAGAGUAUCAGAAGUUAAUUUCAUCCUUACAACAGGGUACCCCAAUACAAAAAAACAUAACACAAAACAGAACAUAACACCUAAGGUAACCCAUUUUACCAGUCUUCCAAAAAUAUAAGUAUCCAACAUAUCAUUCCAAUCACACACCAACCCUAUAUUCCUAUGCUACUAACAGGAACCAGAUCCUCUACCAUUUCUUGGGGAGAAGUGUUGCUUGUUAUCUGUAUGAUCAUAAGAGAUAUACCAGUACACAAUAUACAAAAACAAAGAGAGAGUAAGUUAUCCUUUUAAGGCACAAUAUGUGGAAUUAUAUGGAAAUUAAGUAUCAUAACAUAAUAUAAAUAAUAUAUAUCAUAACAUGGACAAUCAUAACUCAACAUAAGCGAUUAUAACACAGUAUAAGCGACAUGACACAACAUAAACGAUUAUAGCACAACAUUAACAAUCAUAUUAUAAAAUAAACAUAUCACAUUUCUCAAACAUAAAACUCAAUCUCAUGAGUAUGGUGCAUAAACUAUGCAAUGUAUCACCAACUAGUCCAAUAUCAAAUGCAAUGCAUAUGAAUCCAUAUUCAACCUUUCACUUUUCAACUCAACUCCCAUUAUUUUUCAACUCAACUCCUUUUGGAAAGCAAUCGGGAGUACAAGACAUCCUGUANNNNNNNNNNNNNNNNNNNNNNNNNNNNNNNNNNNNNNNNNNNNNNNNNNNNNNNNNNNNNNNNNNNNNNNNNNNNNNNNNNNNNNNNNNNNNNNNNNNNAAUGAGAGAAAGGAAAAGAAAAACAAUGGAGGAAGAAGAUAAUGACUCACCACUUUUCUUCUUCUCCUCCUCCCCAAUGUUACGUUCUGGUUCCUCCCCAAAGAAAGGGACAAUCCCUUUUAUUUUUAUUUUUCUUAACUCUUUUUAAAUCAAUUGAAAUAUGCAUAUAUAAUUAUCAUAUAAGAAUAUUAAUAACAUAUUAUUAUAUUCUAUUUUAAUCAAUUACUAAAUACAUUUCUUAUUGUUAUUAUUCCAAAAAUUUAUAUUAGUCAUAAGGCAAUUUGGAUUGAUAAACCUAUAACAAAUCUUAUAAUUUAAAAGAAUCAAUCUAACUAUGCUACUAAUCCUAAAUAUAUUAUAUCAUACUCAUAUUCAAAAUCUCAUGUUCUAAAAAUAUAUGAAUAGAUUUAAAAAAGAAAACAUUACACUUUAGUACAAUGUUUUAAAUACACAUAUAUUCUCAAUUAUAUAAUAAAAAUCAAUUUAAUACACUAAGCAAAAAUCCUAAUUCAUAUUAGGAAAAAUAUAGGCGUUAUAGUGCUUGUUUAAGGCAAAGUCUGGUCUGGUCUGGCUUGUUUCCACCCUUAUACAGAAAACCCCUAAUUUAUAUACACAUUACACUGGCUAUCACUACCGGAUAAAAAAUGUAAUUUUUUAAAUAAAAAGGGCGAUGAGUGUAACUAAGUUAAACAAAAUAUGAUAUAUUAUGGAGACAAAUCCAAAUAAUAUACGAGUCAAUAUCUCUUCAUUAUUUUUGGUUCAUUACGAUAUAGUGUAAGAUCAUUUAUGCAAUAUCUCUUUAGAAUUCUUGAUACAUUUUUUAACAAAAAAAUAAUGAACAUACAUUAACUUCUAUAUUAUUUAGACUUAUUUCCACAAUAUAGCAUGUUUUGUUUAACUUAAUUGCAUUUAUCAUAUUUUUUGUUUAAAAUAUUACACUUAUUUCUCAUGUAGAGAUAAUGAGUGUAAUGAAGAUAUAUAAAUUAUGGAGUAUUUAUGUAGAUGUAGAAAAAAUAAAAGGUGAUUUAUAAUUUCACUAAAACUUAGUGGGUGUAAUUGUAAUUUACUCUAUAUUUUAAUAUUUUUGAUGUAUAAAUAAUAUUUGAUAUGGGUGACUUCAAAGUUAUUUAUUACAUUGAUCCUUGUAAUAUGUAAAAUUUAAAAUGAUGUCUUCUUUUUCUGUCCUGUAAAUAAAUAAAAACAAUCUUAAUAUUAAAUAUCACAUCAUGAUAGUAUUGUUACAAAAAGGAUAGGUAUACAGAUACACAUUGACUCAGAUUAGCAGCUGUAUGUAGCAAACAUCUAAGGACAUAAACACACACAAUAUUUGCAAUUUCCAAUGCCAGAAACAUAAAUACAAGAACAAUGAAUUUAUGAUAUACAAUAUAUAUAUAUAUAUAUGAAAUCUGGAUAUGAAUUUUUGGGAAUGUUGUUAAAAUUUUACUUUGCAAAUAAUUUUAAUGUAAACAUUUCAACUAGGAAUACGCAUUGUUAGCUCGCUUACGAUUGUAAAUCUGUGGAAUUAAAUUUCAACAACAUUAUAUCAUGAAUCAAUAGCAUAGCAUAUUUUCAUAAAAAAAAAAAACUUCAACUUCAUUCAUAUGGAUGAGAAUGACAUAACAACUAUAUCAUAACCAAUGCAUUUCCCAGACAAGUUUAGACAACACAAAACCAAAAGUAAUAGGCAUCACAAAAUACAAACUACUGCAUGAUCAGCAUAAAUUACACACAACUUAAUUUUUCUACACCUUCCUUGCACUCCUAGAUGAUUCACCACUAUAGCUGUUACAUAGUUCAUGUACGUUUUGGCACAAACCUACGAGCCCAAACAUGUUUUCCAUUGAUGCUCAAUUUGGCCUUACUUGACCCUCCAAUAAUCAUGUUAAUAGUUGAUUUGUUGCGGAAAAUCAUUCGAGCAAACAAUGGUUGUUCAUUUGGUUGCACUUCCUGCAUGUACAAUGCCUCCACAGAAUCAUCAAACACCUUUGUAAAAAACUCUCUCACCUCUGAUUCUUCAACCGGGUACCCCUUAGAAAAGGUCAGAAACAAUGUCCUCUCAUCUGCUGGUACUAGUUCUAUAUUGAUGUUCUCUUGUGCUAGAUUAUGCACAUGAAUCUGAUGAUCAUGACUUGCACCACCCUGAACCAUGUUGCUGAAAGAGUGAAGAUUAGAUGGUGCAAUUGAGCCAAACCAUAAAGGUUUCUGUUGUUGUUGUUGUGGUGGUUUUGCACUUUGAUCUGACAUAUUUCUUUGAGAUUCAGCUUUUUUCUCAAUUGUGUUCCCAGUAAUAGCAUGUUGCAUUAUAUCAGAGAAUGCUCUAACGCACACGCUAUUCAUUACUCCUGCCACCCCUUGAAGUACAUAAUCUUUGUUAUCAUACAAAGAUUGUGAAGAUAUCUCUUUGUCCACAAUGCUUUGUAGAAGAGAGAUAUCACAAGGUUCAGAAGUGAAGGGAAUGGAGUAAGAGAAGUAGCUAAAGUUGGUAGCAUUAAUGUAUUUGAGACAUGAGAGAGUUUCAUCUGCAACUUCAUUUAUCAAGGUGUAUGGAAGAGAGGUUAUUUUCUUUACCAAAUGACGAUAACCUAACCUCUCUAACCAUAGCCACAUAGCAAGAACUUGCAUGGACUCGGUUGGGUUACGAUAAAGGUUGAUCACAAGGAUCCAAUAGAGUUUUCUGUCCAUUUUGUGGAAGAGACAGAAAUCCUCAUGGGAGAUGGUGAUGAUAGUAGAAGGAGGUAGUGCAUGAUCCAUAAUAUGAAAGAGAACAAUAUAAUUUAUUGUCACUCAAGAGCUUUGGUCUUUAUAUAAAACUGCUUUGGACAACCAUCUAUAAAUACCAAGCGGCUAUGUAGAUAAGUUUUGAAGGAGAAAGAAUAGAAAAAAAAAGAUUUCAGAAUCAUGUCAUAAGUGUAUUUCAGGUUUUUAACAUUUAUCGAUCUUCUUUAUUACCUUUUAAAAACUAACUUACAAAUGAAUUCUUAGUUGCAAAUGAAGAAUUGAAAACCAAUAAAGUGUUGGUCCAGUGAUAUAAGGUCUCACUAGAUCUCUAGGGUGGUCAAAAUGUUAAAGGUUCGAAUCGUGAUAGCGACAUUUGUUAAAAAGGUCAAUCAGAUACCCUAAAAGAAAUUAAUUUUUUAACCAAAAUAGGUAAAGGAUACUCUUACUAAUAUCAAAAAGGAAAUGAAAUGAUAUAACUAUUAAAUAUGUCAUCACAUUGUUUUUUUAUUGGUUUAUGAUACUUGAAUUCAAUAUAACUCUCAAAUAUUAGUUUCAGGACCCUAUGAGAGUUACCAAGCUAAGAUCAUUACCGAGAGUUAGGAUCGUCUCUAUUAAUGGAGAAGCGAAUGUAUCAAAAAGCAAAGAAAACCACAAAUUUCAAUUACACAUUUACCCUUCUAAUUAUAAUAAAGUUACCAUUAAAAACGAAAAUACAUAUAUUUGUUUCUCCGCUAAUGAAGAUGAUACUUGGUUGCAUUACAGAUGGAUAUAGCGAGAAUAGUGUGAGGUUUAUAUAGCAGACAAAAGAGAUGUGGACCCUACAUCAGAAGUGAUCCUUUCGCAAUUUGUGAACAAAAUAGGGAAAAGGUGAGCUUUCCUAAAAUAUAUUUUUUCUUAUUUUUUUAAUUCAACCAAACAAAAAAAAGAUAAAUUAACACUUAUUUUUCUUCUUUUUUUCCUCGGAUAUCAAAUAAUCAUUGAAAUAACAAUGUUCUGGAUCCUUAAUAUUGAGUGUUCCAUUUAUGUGAGCAAUAUUUGUUCGAAAAAGUAGCAAUGAACCCUGAAAAUGAUUAACUCAUUAUCUAAAAAGAUAAGAAAAUACUUUUAGUAAUAACAAAAAAUAAUCAUUGAAAAUCACUAUUUUCUACUCACUUACUUUCUACCUAAAUUUAUCUUUCUAUAUCUCCUUCUAUUUUUCUAUCAAACCAAACAAUAUAGCAUUAUGAUGAAAUAAGAGAAACAGUAUAUGAUAAAAAUUAUUAAAAAAAAUAUUGAUAUAAAAAUAGUAGAGUUAAUAGAGCUAUUAAAUACUUGAGUUGCAAAGUAAAAGAAGCAUUGAAGUUAGAAAUAAACUGAUAAUCAUGUCCUGUGUGUGAAACAAUUUUCUGACUUAGCACAACUAAUAUCAAAAGAGCCUAAAAGCAGCAAGAAAAUCUGCAUGGCACCAUUUAAUCCUUAGAAAAUAAACAUAAAUGGUGGUUGUCAGGAUCUAACUUCAAAACAAGAGUUACAUAUCAGUUUCCAUGGUUUUAAGGGCUUCCUGAAAGAACACAAAUUGUCUGACGUUAGUGCAUUGGUUAAGUAGUUUCUCUUCUUUUUCUCGCCCAUAGUAACCAACUAACCAUAGUUCUACAAAUUAGAGUAUCUUUCACACUAUCAAAUUUCGGGGCCCAACAACUCAAAACAAUUAUUGCCCUUGGAGCAAAAUUUUUGCAUUCAUAUCCAAUUGACUUUGCCAUACACUCGUAAAAAGUAAUUGAGAUUUUUUUACGGUUACACAAAUUUUCGAGUUGGAGCUAGGAGAGAGAAUGACUCGACCCUACUCGUUAUGGCGCUUUUGCUUCUGAGGAAUUUAAUAUGUUUUCUGAGGAGAGAGUCCUUGAAGCCGAAAGAUGUCAAAUGCAAUUAUUAUUUGGAGAUAUAUCUAAGGACGAGAAAACAAGUGAUGGCACAAAUAUAAAGGUUGUACCAAAACCACCACUACGGAAUAAAAGAAAGUCGGCUUAUAGUAGUUACUGCAGAGAGGAAGCUACAAGCAAGAUGCAGAAACAGGGCAGGCAGGCAUCAGAUCCUAUAAUAACCUUAUAAUUUCUCUCCGAUAAUUAACUUGCAAUAAUAACCUUAUAAUUUUUUUUAAUAUCUUAUACCUUUUAAAAAAGUAAAAUGAUAAGGUUGUUUAUCUUAUGAUAUAAAGUUAUAAGUUCAAAUAUAGAAAAAAAUAUUGUUAUGAUGGGAAGACAACAUACAUUUACUAAGACUAUAGUAGUUGAGAACAUGGUCAAUUAAACAUCUCUUCAUACAUUUUAGAGUAAAUUAUAUUGACAUCUCCUAAGUUUUAGCGAAAUUAUAUGAAUCAUUUUAUUUUUACACCUACAGAAAUAAGGGUGGAAACAAGUACGGUCGCCUAUCAGGGGGCUAUUACCUGACCUAUAAUAGGCCAGUCCAGACUAUGGAUGGCAACGGGCGCGGGCGGGCGUAGGGUAGUGCUUUCCCGUGCCCAAACCCGCAAUAUUUGCGGGUACCCGUGCAGGUAGCGGGUAUUUACGGGUACCCAAUGAGUUUUUAAUUUUAAUUAUAUAUUUAUAUAAGUUGUAAUAAUCAAUAUGUAAAAAUAAUUGUUACAUGAAUAAUAUGAUAUUUACAUCAUAAGUUUAUUAUCAUAGUCGAAUAUGUGUAAUAUAUUAUGAAAUAAUAAUAAAGUAUAUGAUAUAUAAUCUAAAAUAAUAAUAAUAAUAAUAAUAAAUAUUAUAAAAAUUUAACUAAAAACUAAAUAUAUAAAUUUGCGGGUACCCGCAGGGCGGGUAUCACAAAACCCGCUCUCGCCCAUAAGCUAUUAUUGCAGGUACCCCUUGCGGGUAUUUUUACGGGUACCCAUAGGUCAGGUUUUUUUGCCAUCCCUAGACCAGACCAGGCUUUUUUCAUAAACAUGUCAGGCUCAGGCUUUUUGAAAAGUCUAUUUACUUUAACAAAUCAUGUUUUUGGUCAUCCAAAAGGCCUAUUAAACCUAAUAGACUAGUCUAUUUAAUUAUUUUAUAUAAUAUGCUCAUAUUAUACAAUUUUAACAUAUAUAAUAAUAUUAUUAUUAUUAUAUAUAUAUAUAUAUAUAAUUUUGAUAUAAAAAUAUAACUUAAUUGUUAGGAUUAGAAGAGUCUCAUUAAAAAUAUGAAUAUUAGUCUAUUUAAAUGUAGAAAUGAUGACCUAUUUAAAUAUUAUAUAGUAUAAUAGGUCUUUAAACAAAUUAACAUGUCAUGCUAGACUUUUCAAUAGGCUAACAGGUGAGGCCGAGACUCUUACAUGCUAUAUAGGUUGUGCUUGUAACAACCCGAUUCUUUUGUGAAAUAAAUAAAUAAAUAAAAAUGUUUUUAUAGAAUUUAUUUCUCAACAACUAUUUAUGACUAUGAAUUUCUUCCUUCAUAGAUUUUAUUUAUUGUGGAUACAUUUAAUAAAUAUGAGUUUCUAAUUAAAAACCAUGGCCCAAAUGACAUAACAAUAUAUUUUUAAGACUUCAACAAUUCAAGUUCAUUUUCUAUAAUUAUGUGAAUAAAUAAUUUUUUUUCCAAGAAUCAAUUGUCCUUAUUUUAAUGACUAAGUAUAUAUAUUUACUUAUCAAUACUUUUGUCAUUCUAAAGCAACCUAAUAAAAACACAUGUGAUAAUAUCCAUCAAAAUGUCAUGACUAAAAGUCAUAUAUAACAUGUUUUACAAACAACUACAUAAUAACUAUGAUCUAUCUAUGGGAAUGCAAUUUCUAGUUAGUUUUAGUUGCAUACAUACAAAUAACUUAUAGUUUUUCCAAGUAAAGUAAAACUUGUGUUCCUAGAGUAUCAGAAGUUAAUUUCAUCCUUACAACAGGGUACCCCAAUACAAAAAAACAUAACACAAAACAGAACAUAACACCUAAGGUAACCCAUUUUACCAGUCUUCCAAAAAUAUAAGUAUCCAACAUAUCAUUCCAAUCACACACCAACCCUAUAUUCCUAUGCUACUAACAGGAACCAGAUCCUCUACCAUUUCUUGGGGAGAAGUGUUGCUUGUUAUCUGUAUGAUCAUAAGAGAUAUACCAGUACACAAUAUACAAAAACAAAGAGAGAGUAAGUUAUCCUUUUAAGGCACAAUAUGUGGAAUUAUAUGGAAAUUAAGUAUCAUAACAUAAUAUAAAUAAUAUAUAUCAUAACAUGGACAAUCAUAACUCAACAUAAGCGAUUAUAACACAGUAUAAGCGACAUGACACAACAUAAACGAUUAUAGCACAACAUUAACAAUCAUAUUAUAAAAUAAACAUAUCACAUUUCUCAAACAUAAAACUCAAUCUCAUGAGUAUGGUGCAUAAACUAUGCAAUGUAUCACCAACUAGUCCAAUAUCAAAUGCAAUGCAUAUGAAUCCAUAUUCAACCUUUCACUUUUCAACUCAACUCCCAUUAUUUUUCAACUCAACUCCUUUUGGAAAGCAAUCGGGAGUACAAGACAUCCUGUANNNNNNNNNNNNNNNNNNNNNNNNNNNNNNNNNNNNNNNNNNNNNNNNNNNNNNNNNNNNNNNNNNNNNNNNNNNNNNNNNNNNNNNNNNNNNNNNNNNNAAAGAAAGAGAAUGAGAGAAAGGAAAAGAAAAACAAUGGAGGAAGAAGAUAAUGACUCACCACUUUUCUUCUUCUCCUCCUCCCCAAUGUUACGUUCUGGUUCCUCCCCAAAGAAAGGGACAAUCCCUUUUAUUUUUAUUUUUCUUAACUCUUUUUAAAUCAAUUGAAAUAUGCAUAUAUAAUUAUCAUAUAAGAAUAUUAAUAACAUAUUAUUAUAUUCUAUUUUAAUCAAUUACUAAAUACAUUUCUUAUUGUUAUUAUUCCAAAAAUUUAUAUUAGUCAUAAGGCAAUUUGGAUUGAUAAACCUAUAACAAAUCUUAUAAUUUAAAAGAAUCAAUCUAACUAUGCUACUAAUCCUAAAUAUAUUAUAUCAUACUCAUAUUCAAAAUCUCAUGUUCUAAAAAUAUAUGAAUAGAUUUAAAAAAGAAAACAUUACACUUUAGUACAAUGUUUUAAAUACACAUAUAUUCUCAAUUAUAUAAUAAAAAUCAAUUUAAUACACUAAGCAAAAAUCCUAAUUCAUAUUAGGAAAAAUAUAGGCGUUAUAGUGCUUGUUUAAGGCAAAGUCUGGUCUGGUCUGGCUUGUUUCCACCCUUAUACAGAAAACCCCUAAUUUAUAUACACAUUACACUGGCUAUCACUACCGGAUAAAAAAUGUAAUUUUUUAAAUAAAAAGGGCGAUGAGUGUAACUAAGUUAAACAAAAUAUGAUAUAUUAUGGAGACAAAUCCAAAUAAUAUACGAGUCAAUAUCUCUUCAUUAUUUUUGGUUCAUUACGAUAUAGUGUAAGAUCAUUUAUGCAAUAUCUCUUUAGAAUUCUUGAUACAUUUUUUAACAAAAAAAUAAUGAACAUACAUUAACUUCUAUAUUAUUUAGACUUAUUUCCACAAUAUAGCAUGUUUUGUUUAACUUAAUUGCAUUUAUCAUAUUUUUUGUUUAAAAUAUUACACUUAUUUCUCAUGUAGAGAUAAUGAGUGUAAUGAAGAUAUAUAAAUUAUGGAGUAUUUAUGUAGAUGUAGAAAAAAUAAAAGGUGAUUUAUAAUUUCACUAAAACUUAGUGGGUGUAAUUGUAAUUUACUCUAUAUUUUAAUAUUUUUGAUGUAUAAAUAAUAUUUGAUAUGGGUGACUUCAAAGUUAUUUAUUACAUUGAUCCUUGUAAUAUGUAAAAUUUAAAAUGAUGUCUUCUUUUUCUGUCCUGUAAAUAAAUAAAAACAAUCUUAAUAUUAAAUAUCACAUCAUGAUAGUAUUGUUACAAAAAGGAUAGGUAUACAGAUACACAUUGACUCAGAUUAGCAGCUGUAUGUAGCAAACAUCUAAGGACAUAAACACACACAAUAUUUGCAAUUUCCAAUGCCAGAAACAUAAAUACAAGAACAAUGAAUUUAUGAUAUACAAUAUAUAUAUAUAUAUAUGAAAUCUGGAUAUGAAUUUUUGGGAAUGUUGUUAAAAUUUUACUUUGCAAAUAAUUUUAAUGUAAACAUUUCAACUAGGAAUACGCAUUGUUAGCUCGCUUACGAUUGUAAAUCUGUGGAAUUAAAUUUCAACAACAUUAUAUCAUGAAUCAAUAGCAUAGCAUAUUUUCAUAAAAAAAAAAACUUCAACUUCAUUCAUAUGGAUGAGAAUGACAUAACAACUAUAUCAUAACCAAUGCAUUUCCCAGACAAGUUUAGACAACACAAAACCAAAAGUAAUAGGCAUCACAAAAUACAAACUACUGCAUGAUCAGCAUAAAUUACACACAACUUAAUUUUUCUACACCUUCCUUGCACUCCUAGAUGAUUCACCACUAUAGCUGUUACAUAGUUCAUGUACGUUUUGGCACAAACCUACGAGCCCAAACAUGUUUUCCAUUGAUGCUCAAUUUGGCCUUACUUGACCCUCCAAUAAUCAUGUUAAUAGUUGAUUUGUUGCGGAAAAUCAUUCGAGCAAACAAUGGUUGUUCAUUUGGUUGCACUUCCUGCAUGUACAAUGCCUCCACAGAAUCAUCAAACACCUUUGUAAAAAACUCUCUCACCUCUGAUUCUUCAACCGGGUACCCCUUAGAAAAGGUCAGAAACAAUGUCCUCUCAUCUGCUGGUACUAGUUCUAUAUUGAUGUUCUCUUGUGCUAGAUUAUGCACAUGAAUCUGAUGAUCAUGACUUGCACCACCCUGAACCAUGUUGCUGAAAGAGUGAAGAUUAGAUGGUGCAAUUGAGCCAAACCAUAAAGGUUUCUGUUGUUGUUGUGGUUUUGCACUUUGAUCUGACACAUUCCUUUGAGAUUCAGCUUUUUUCUCAAUUGUGUUCCCAGUAAUAGCAUGCUGCAUUAUAUCAGAGAAUGCUCUAACACACACGUUAUUCAUUACUCCUGCCACCCCUUGAAGUACGUAAUCUUUGUUAUCAUACAAAGAUUGUGAAGAUAUCUCUUUGUCCACAAUGCUUUGUAGAAGAGAGAUAUCACAAGGUUCAGAAGUGAAGGGAAUGGAGUAAGAGAAGUAGCUAAAGUUGGUAGCAUUAAUGUAUUUGAGACAUGAGAGAGUUUCAUCUGCAACUUCAUUUAUCAAGGUGUAUGGAAGAGAGGUUAUUUUCUUUACCAAAUGACGAUAACCUAACCUCUCUAACCAUAGCCACAUAGCAAGAACUUGCAUGGACUCGGUUGGGUUACGAUAAAGGUUGAUCACAAGGAUCCAAUAGAGUUUUCUGUCCAUUUUGUGGAAGAGACAGAAAUCCUCAUGGGAGAUGGUGAUGAUAGUAGAAGGAGGUAGUGCAUGAUCCAUAGUAUGAAAGAGAACAAUAUAAUAUAUUGUCACUCAAGAGCUUUGGUGUUUAUAUAAAACUGCUUUGACAACCAUAUAUAAAUACCAAGCGGCUAUCUAGAUAAGUUUUGAAGGAGAAAGAAUAGAAAAAAAAAGAUUUCAGAAUCAUGUCAUAAGUGUAUUUCAGGUUUUUAACAUUUAUCGAUCUUCUUUAUUACCUUUUAAAAACUAACGCACAAAUGAAUUCUUAGUUGCAAAUGAAGAAUUGAAAACCAAUAAAGUGUUGGUCCAGUGAUAUAAGGUCUCACUAGAUCUCUAGGGUGGUCAAAAUGUUAAAGGUUCGAAUCGUGAUAGCGACAUUUGUUAAAAAGGUCAAUCAGAUACCCUAAAAGAAAUUAAUUUUUUAACCAAAAUAGGUAAAGGAUACUCUUACUAAUAUCAAAAAGGAAAUGAAAUGAUAUAACUAUUAAAUAUGUCAUCACAUUGUUUUUUUAUUGGUUUAUGAUACUUGAAUUCAAUAUAACUCUCAAAUAUUAGUUUCAGGACCCUAUGAGAGUUACCAAGCUAAGAUCAUUACCGAGAGUUAGGAUCGUCUCUAUUAAUGGAGAAGCGAAUGUAUCAAAAAGCAAAGAAAACCACAAAUUUCAAUUACACAUUUACCCUUCUAAUUAUAAUAAAGUUACCAUUAAAAACGAAAAUACAUAUAUUUGUUUCUCCGCUAAUGAAGAUGAUACUUGGUUGCAUUACAGAUGGAUAUAGCGAGAAUAGUGUGAGGUUUAUAUAGCAGACAAAAGAGAUGUGGACCCUACAUCAGAAGUGAUCCUUUCGCAAUUUGUGAACAAAAUAGGGAAAAGGUGAGCUUUCCUAAAAUAUAUUUUUUCUUAUUUUUUUAAUUCAACCAAACAAAAAAAAGAUAAAUUAACACUUAUUUUUCUUCUUUUUUCCCUCCGGUAUCAAAUAAUCAUUGAACCAACAAAGCUUUGGAUCCUUAAUAUUGAAUAUUCGAUUUCUGUGAGCAAUAUUUAUUUGAUGAAGUAGCAAUAAACUCUAAAAAUGGUUAACUCAUUAUUCAAAAAAUAAGAAAAUACUUUAAUAAUAACAAAAAAUAAUCAUUGAAAAUUACUAUUUUCUACUCACUUACUUUCUACCUAAAUUUAUCUUUCUAUAUCUCCUUCUAUUUUUCGGUCAAACCAAACAAUAUAUUUAUGAUGAAAUAAGAGAAACAGUAUAUGAUAAAAAUUAUUAAAAAAAAUAUUGAUAUAAAAAUAGUAGAGUUAAUAGAGCUAUUAAAUACUUGAGUUGCAAAGUAAAAGAAGCAUUGAAGUUAGAAAUAAACUGAUAAUCAUGUCCUGUGUGUGAAACAAUUUUCUGACUUAGCACAACUAAUAUCAAAAGAGCCUAAAAGCUGCAAGAAAAUAUGCAUGGCACCAUUUAAUCCUUAGAAAAUAAACAUAAAUGGUGGUUUUCAGGAUCUAACUUCAAAACAAGAGUUACAUAUCAGUUUCCAUGGUUUUAAGGGCUUCCUGAAAGAACAAACUGUCUUACGUCAGUGCAUUGGUUAAGUAGUUUCUCUUCUUUUUCUCGCCCAUAGUAACCAACUAACCAUAGUUCUACAAAUUAGAGUAUCUUUCACACUAUCAAAUUUCGGGGCCCAACAACUCAAAACAAUUAUUGCCCUUGGAGCAAGAUUUUUGCAUUCAUAUCCAACUGAUUUUGCCAUACACUCGUAAAAAGUAAUUGAGUUUUUUUUACGUUUAAAGACAAGUUUUCGAGUUAGAGGUAUGAGUGAGGAUGACUCGACCCUACUCGCUAUUUGGUAUGGUUCGAUUAUGAUCGAGUCCGGAUAAGGUCGGGUCUUAUCAGGUAAGCCGAAUUAAGGUUCAAAAAUUAAACUCAGUUAAUAUUUAGGAUCGAUUAGGGGACAAGUAUGACUCGACCCGACCCGACCAAUGAUCAUUCACUCAUCAUAUUUGUGCAUCUCUGUUCAAUUGUGUACAAAAUAAUGAUACAUCUUUAGUCGAAGUAUUAUUGAUUCUCUAAUUUUUGCAUGAGAUAUACAAAACUAACAAUAUAUAUACAUAUAUCAUUUUACAUGUCAAACUACAUAUCUAUAAUAAUAAGUAAUAACGAGAAUACUUUUUUCUAAAUUAGGUAUGCAUUAUAUUUCAUCGGUCUAGUGUCUAGUCUGAUUCAAAAGCUAACCUGACCGUCAUCAUUUAGAGUCAAGUUACCUUCAAGUCUAGAAUGAGGUUCAGAUUCAAAAAAUGACUCGAUUAACAUUUAGGAUCGGACAAGGGAUAAACAUUUACCCAUCCCAACUUUGCACAUGCUCAAAAUAAUGUUUCAAAAUUAUUUGAGAAAUGUAUUUUAUUGUUCUGGAAAAUUUCUCUCAUCUUUAUUAUUCUUCAAAAAAUUAUGUUAGAAACAUACCCUAAAUAAUUUAGAGUACAAAAGAAUGAUCAAUAUUCUUUGUAGCUUCUUUACCAUUGUAGAGGAUUUAUGCAUUUGAAAAUUAAUUUUGACUACGAUAAUACAUUAAAAUUAUUAAAUAUGCUUUAUUUAAUUUUCAAACAUUUGAUAGAAGAUUGGACGACACCUAGUCUAUAUUCUAGAAAUAGUGCUGGUGGAGUGAGGACAAAUAUUAAAAAAAUGACAUAUUUAAUAUAUUGGAAACAUGUACUUAGUUUUAAAAAUAUAUUUAUCAUUUUCAAUUGCUUCUGCUCAAAUUUGUUAAUAAGUUUUGGCUCACUAUUUUAUUACAUAAAAAUCUUUUUCAAGACAUUAAAUCUUAAAGUGUGGGAUAAGAACUAUGAGUGAGUUUGAUUCGGUCUACCCACUCACUUGUUUGUCGGGUAUGUGACAAGCAUAAUCUGACUCCGCUCAUCCCACAGUCACUGAUUCAUCAUGUUUAUAUAUACGUUUAUUCUGUUAUGUACAAAAUAAUGUCAUCUCUUUGGUUGAAAGUAUCAUUGAUUCUCUAGUUUUUAUCGCAUAUACAUGAUUAACAAUAAAUAUACAUAUUAUUUCAUAUAAAAUUACAUAUUCAUCAUAAUAAGUAAUGUUGAGAAGAAUUUAUCUAAUAUAAGGUAUAUGUUAUAUUUAUUUGGAUAUAAGGUCGGGUUCAGAUUUAAAAGUUGACCCUGAUAACAUUCGAAGUCAAGUUAACUUUGGGUAUGAUCGAGUUCGAGUUCAAAAAAAUAAUUUGAUCAACAUUUAUGAUUGGAUAAAGGCGAUGCCUUACCAAUCUUACUUGACUUAUGUUCACCCUUAAUGUUCUUGUCUUCUUGAUGCUAAGGACUAAUUAGAUAGUGAUACAACUCAACAUUUUAUCUCACCAUGUCAUGAGGUAAUAUAAGUCUCAUCUUACCUAAUAUUAGAAUGAAUGAAAAAGCUUAAUAUUAUAUAUUGGACUCAUCUCUUUUUAUAAUGUGUACUAAUUAGAAACAUCUAAUUGGUAUGGAUUCAUAAGUGAGGACUUGUAAGUUGUAAUCAUUAUCUUCUUCUCUUCUAUUUUUUGAUUAUGGGUAGCCAAUACUGCACAAAAUAGGAGGUUUUACUUGUAUUUUCAUGGUCUUGAGGUGAGACGUGAUCGUAAUGAUGCUCUAUUUUUGUGAAAACAACACCAGAUAUAGAUUUAGUGUACUAUUUCUUAAACAUACUAAUAAGUUACCCGUGUAUAUGCACAAGAUGAUAUUUUUUGUUACAUGGUUAAAACUAUACAUGUUAUUUGUGCAUUCAUAUGGUUAAAAUUACAUAUUACUUGUGCAUAUUUACAUGGUUAAUAACAUACAUGUUACCCCGUGUUAGAAAUGUCAAUGGGUACCUGAAUUCGUUGUUACCCGCAAAAAAAUACAUGCAAACAGAUCGGGUAUGGGUUUUUGGAUCCGCACGUAAUUGAGACCCGAUAUUUUAAGAUCCGUUGUUGGGUGGGUUAGAGUCUGGACAAUGAGAUACACAAACUCACAGGUACUCGGAUCCGCUAUUUCUACCUAUAUAUAUAUAUUGUUAAUCCAUAAUAUUAUAUUGUUAAUUCAUAAAUGUGAUUGUUAGGUUGUUAAACAAUAAUGUUAUAAUGUUAAGUAGUGAUGUGAUGGUGAUGAUAGUAGAAGGAGGUAGUGCAUGAUCCAUAGUACGAAAGAGAACAAUAUAAUAUAUUGUCACUCAAGAGCUUUGGUGUUUAUAUAAAACUGCUUUGGACAACCAUCUAUAAAUACCAAGCGGCUAUCUAGAUAAGUUUUGAAGGAGAAAGAAUAGAAAAAAAAAAGAUUUCAGAAUCAAUUUAUAGGUUAUCAAUAAUUAGAUCGUUUAUUUUGUAACCCAAAAUAAAUAGUCAAUUUAAUAAUAUUAAAUAUAUGAUAAUCAUCUUAAUUAAAAAUUGUGAAUUUCUAGCGCAUGAUAGUACCAAGAGGAGAAAAUUAAAGAAAAAGUUGCAUAUAACAAGUGAGGAUAUGAAAUGAAUUUAUAUUAUUAUAUGGUUAAUAGAUAUAACAAGUGAGGAUAUGAAAUGAAUUUGUAUUAUUAUAUGGUUAAUAGAUAAAUUUGAAAGGAAUGUUAUACAUUCUAGUUAAAAUUGUAGUUGUCAGCAAAAUGAGAGUUACUAACAAUUUUCCAUUGGUUUCGAGGUCAGAGUAAAGGAGCAAAUUCCACCUUUCAUCCGUAUAUUCGUUAAGUAGUAUCUCUUCUUUUUCUCGCCCAUAGUAUCGAAUUAACCACCCAACAUCUCCAGAACUAUAUUGCCUUCUGGAGCAAGACUUUUGCAUUCAUAUCCAACUGAUUUUGGCCAUAUACUCGUAAAAAGAACGAUCAAGAAUUUUUAACUGCUAAAGAUUCGUAAUUUCAGUAUAUAACAACGUAAUUAUCAAUAUCUUUUUACAGCUUUUUUACAAUCAUAGAAGAUAUAUACAUUUUGAACUUUGUUUAAUUUCAUAGUGAUAAAAUUAAAAUCAGAUAUGGUUUAGCAUUUUUCAACCAUUUGGAUCCAAAUUGCAAGAGGUUGAAUAACACCUAAUAUGGCUUAUGUGGUCAUAGUUAUAGUCGACAUGACUCUGCAAAAUUAUGUUAUGGCUACAAUCUCAAAUGCGAUCUCUCCCACAAUAGUACCACAUUUUCAAAAUUGCAUAUUUAAAUAAGUGAAUUGGAUGAGUUUAGUAAAUUAACUUCUGAUAUAAUCAACAAAAAUUAAAAAUUGCAUGCUUCAUCUACAAUGAAUCUCCCAUACAAGAAUAUAUUAAAAGUAUAGUAUAGUUGGACAUAAAUACAUUAAAAAGCUAAAUAAACGGGUAUUGAUAUAAUGCAUGCAUUUGAAGAAAAAGGUACUUAGAAGAGAAAUUUGGUUCAAUUCUUAGCAAAUAAGCCUCCAAAACCGCCACCUUUCUUCUUUUGUGGCACUGCCACAGAGUUCUUCCGGCCACUGAUGGUGCCUCCUCCUCCUUUCUUUUCCUCCACCCCCUGAA